This 460-nucleotide ribosomal RNA is filed under the name uncultured bacterium. Its description in RNAcentral is "partial 16S ribosomal RNA". It matches the Rfam family "Bacterial small subunit ribosomal RNA", at positions 338 to 795 of the family's 1533-position model. The record is from RNAcentral.
CCUACGGGAGGCAGCAGUGAGGAAUAUUGGUCAAUGGACGAAAGUCUGAACCAGCCAAGCCGCGUGAAGGAUGACUGCCCUAUGCGUUGUAAACCUCUUUUAUAUGGGAAUAAAACAGGGUAUGCAUACCCUCUUGUAUGUACCAUAUGAAUAAGGAUCGGCUAACUCCGUGCCAGCAGCCGCGGUAAUACGGAGGAUCCGAGCGUUAUCCGGAUUUAUUGGGUUUAAAGGGGGCGUAGGUGGAUUUUUAAGCCAGGUGUGAAAGUUUGCGGCUCAACCGUAGAAUUGCAGUUGAAACUGGGAGUCUGGAGUGCAGUAGAGGCAGGCGGAAUGCGUGGUGUAGCGGUGAAAUGCUUAGAUAUCACGAAGAACUCCGAUUGCGAAGGCAGCUCACUGGACUGCAACUGACACUGAGGCUCGAAAGUGUGGGGAUCAAACAGGAUUAGAUACCCCUGUAGUC